GCCCUUGGGACCGGCAUAACCCCGGGAAACUGGGGAUAAUUCCGGAUAACGCAUAUUUGCUGGAAUGCUUUAUGCGUCAAAAGGAUUCGUCUGCCCAAGGAUGGGUCUGCGGCCUAUCAGGUAGUAGCGGGUGUAAUGUACCUACUAGCCAGCGACGGGUACGGGUUGUGAGAGCAAGAGCCCGGAGAUGGAUUCUGAGACAUGAAUCCAGGCCCUACGGGGCGCAGCAGGCGCGAAAACUUUACAAUGCGGGAAACCGUGAUAAGGGGACACCGAGUGCCAGCAUCAUAUGCUGGCUGUCCGGAUGUGUAAAAUACAUCCGUUAGCAAGGGCCGGGCAAGACCGGUGCCAGCCGCCGCGGUAACACCGGCGGCCCGAGUGGUGAUCGUGAUUAUUGGGUCUAAAGGGUCCGUAGCCGGUUUGGUCAGUCCUCCGGGAAAUCUGAUAGCUUAACUAUUAGGCUUUCGGGGGAUACUGCCAGACUUGGAACCGGGAGAGGUAAGAGGUACUACAGGGGUAGGAGUGAAAUCUUGUAAUCCCUGUGGGACCACCUGUGGCGAAGGCGUCUUACCAGAACGGGCUCGACGGUGAGGGACGAAAGCUGGGGGCACGAACCGGAUUAGAUACCCGGGUAGUCCCAGCCGUAAACGAUGCUCGCUAGGUGUCAGGCAUGGCGCGACCGUGUCUGGUGCCGCAGGGAAGCCGUGAAGCGAGCCACCUGGGAAGUACGGCCGCAAGGCUGAAACUUAAAGGAAUUGGCGGGGGGGCACAACAACGGGUGGAGCCUGCGGUUUAAUUGGACUCAACGCCGGACAACUCACCGGGGGCGACAGCAAUAUGUAGGCCAAGCUGAAGACUUUGCCUGAAUCGCUGAGAGGAGGUGCAUGGCCGUCGCCAGUUCGUACUGUGAAGCAUCCUGUUAAGUCAGGCAACGAGCGAGACCCGUGCCCACUGUUACCAGCAUGUCCUCCGGGACGAUGGGUACUCUGUGGGGACCGCCGAUGUUAAAUCGGAGGAAGGUGCGGGCCACGGUAGGUCAGUAUGCCCCGAAUCUCCCGGGCUACACGCGGGCUACAAUGGAUGGGACAAUGGGUCCCUCCCCUGAAAAGGGCUGGUAAUCUCACAAACCCAUUCGUAGUUCGGAUCGAGGGCUGUAACUCGCCCUCGUGAAGCUGGAAUCCGUAGUAAUCGCGUUUCAAUAUAGUUAGGAAA
Molecule: ribosomal RNA, 1212 nt
Filed under: uncultured methanogenic archaeon
Lineage: Archaea; Methanobacteriati; Methanobacteriota
Description: bacterial SSU rRNA
Rfam family: Archaeal small subunit ribosomal RNA
Source: RNAcentral